AGCGAACGCUGGCGGCAGGCUUAACACAUGCAAGUCGAGCGGGCGUAGCAAUACGUCAGCGGCAGACGGGUGAGUAACGCGUGGGAACGUACCUUUUGGUUCGGAACAACACAGGGAAACUUGUGCUAAUACCGGAUAAGCCCUUACGGGGAAAGAUUUAUCGCCGAAAGAUCGGCCCGCGUCUGAUUAGCUAGUUGGUGAGGUAAUGGCUCACCAAGGCGACGAUCAGUAGCUGGCUGAGAGGAUGAUCAGCCACAUUGGGACUGAGACACGGCCCAAACUCCUACGGGAGGCAGCAGUGGGGAAUAUUGGACAAUGGGCGCAAGCCUGAUCCAGCCAUGCCGCGUGAGUGAUGAAGGCCCUAGGGUUGUAAAGCUCUUUUGUGCGGGAAGAUAAUGACGGUACCGCAAGAAUAAGCCCCCGGCUAACUUCGUGCCAGCAGCCGCAGU
RNAcentral lists this ribosomal RNA (449 nucleotides) under uncultured bacterium. Its description in RNAcentral is "bacterial SSU rRNA". It matches the Rfam family "Bacterial small subunit ribosomal RNA", at positions 29 to 521 of the family's 1533-position model. The record is from RNAcentral.